AACGCUAGCUACAGGCUUAACACAUGCAAGUCGAGGGGCAGCAUAAAAGUAGCAAUACUUUGGUGGCGACCGGCGCACGGGUGAGUAACGCGUAUGCAACCUACCUAUCAGAGGGGGAUAACCCGGCGAAAGUCGGACUAAUACCGCAUAAAACAGGGGCACCGCAUGGUGAUAUUUGUUAAAAAUUUAUUGCUGAUAGAUGGGCAUGCGUUCCAUUAGGUAGUUGGAGAGGUAACGGCUCACCAAGCCCACGAUGGAUAGGGGAACUGAGAGGUUGGUCCCCCACACUGGUACUGAGACACGGACCAGACUCCUACGGGAGGCAGCAGUGAGGAAUAUUGGUCAAUGGGCGAGAGCCUGAACCAGCCAAGUCGCGUGAAGGAAGAAGGAUCUAUGGUUCGUAAACUUCUUUUGCAGGGGAAUAAAGUGCAGGACGUGUCCUGUUUUGUAUGUACCCUGAGAAUAAGGAUCGGCUAACUCCGUGCCAGCAGCCGCGGUAAUACGGAGGAUCCGAGCGUUAUCCGGAUUUAUUGGGUUUAAAGGGUGCGUAGGUGGUUUAAUAAGUCAGCGGUGAAAGUUUGCAGCUUAACUGUAAAAAUGCCGUUGAAACUGUUAGACUUGAGUGUAAAUGAGGUAGGCGGAAUGCGUGGUGUAGCGGUGAAAUGCUUAGAUAUCACGAAGAACUCCGAUUG
This 692-nucleotide ribosomal RNA is filed under the name uncultured bacterium. RNAcentral's name for it is "bacterial SSU rRNA". It matches the Rfam family "Bacterial small subunit ribosomal RNA", at positions 32 to 715 of the family's 1533-position model. The record is from RNAcentral.